This 256-nucleotide ribosomal RNA is filed under the name uncultured bacterium. RNAcentral describes it as "partial 16S ribosomal RNA". It matches the Rfam family "Bacterial small subunit ribosomal RNA", at positions 334 to 604 of the family's 1533-position model. The record is from RNAcentral.
AGUCCCUACGGGGCGCAGCAGUGGGGAAUAUUGGGCAAUGGGCGCAAGCCUGACCCAGCAACGCCGCGUGAAGGAAGAAGGCUUUCGGGUUGUAAACUUCUUUUCUGAGGGACGAAGGAAGUGACGGUACCUCAGGAAUAAGCCACGGCUAACUACGUGCCAGCAGCCGCGGUAAUACGUAGGUGGCAAGCGUUAUCCGGAUUUAUUGGGUGUAAAGGGCGUGUAGGCGGGAAUGCAAGUCAGAUGUGAAAACUAU